Molecule: non-coding RNA, 1493 nt
Organism: Hydra vulgaris (swiftwater hydra)
Lineage: Eukaryota; Metazoa; Cnidaria; Hydrozoa; Anthoathecata; Hydridae
Source: RefSeq, a predicted model, not a curated record
UUGCCUGAAACUUGGCCGAUUGGGUUAAGUUUAGGCAUAAAAAGUCUGGAAAUUAAAAAAUUUAAACAAUUUCCUUGAAAUUUGGCCGAUUGGGAUAUAGUUUACGCAUAAAAUGUCUGGAAAAUAAUACUCUUAGCAUUUCUUUCUUCAAGUGUCUAAUUUAAGCUGUCUAAGAUUUUUGAUAAUUUGUGAAUUGCAUUAGAGAGAAGCGAUAAAGUUACAUUCGAAAAGAUAAACAAGAAGUAUUCCCUCCAAGUUGAUUCUUUAUGUUUUUUGCAUUCAUUAAUUAAUCAAGUUCAUCUUAAAUAUUUGCGUUUAAGCCUACUUAAACAAAACUGCAAAAUCGGAUAAAUUAGUACCUAUUCUGAAAAGCAGUUUGCUAAUUGAUUGUGUAUUUUUCUGUCAUACACCUUCAGUCGUUCUGCAUAAAAAAUCGUACACAUGAAUAGGAAGGAACCUUGACGUGGUUCAUGUGCUUUAAACAAAUACCUUCCAGACAGAUACAUUCUCACCCGUUGUACUUUAAGAGAUAAAUGGUCAGAAAUUUGAUUUCUUUAGAUUUUUUUUUUUGUCUGAAUUUAUUUAUUACUCAAUAAAUCAAAUUUUUUUAAAUGUAUUAAUAAAAUCAUAGUUAAUCUACUAUUUGUUUUCAAUGGUUUGUAUUCUUCGAAUUGGCUAAUAAAAAUUAGCAAAUCAAUAAAAAGGGCUGGUGCUAGUUGCCGAUACAGAUUGUGAUAUAUUUGGCUGAUUAAGCUGAUGCAGAUUAAUCUGAACAUCACCAAGAAUAUUCAGAUUAAUUUUGAAUUUCCAAAUUCCUUUUUUUAUUUUAGGUUGACAUCGAGUACAUAAACCAUAUUAAGAUUAGCUAGUAUAGGUAUAAUUUUUUAUUAAAUUUUGCAUAUGUUUCAUGUAAAAGAUAAUGACCAGAAUCAAGUUUAUAUUUAUAAAAAAAAAUCCAAAAACAAUAAAAAAAACAAUAGUUUGGGAGGGAGCGAUUUUAAGUUAAUUUUUGCUUGAAUUUUAGACUUAUAUUGUCUUAACCAGUUUAGCAUUAAAUUUUUUUUUUGUUUUUGAAAAUGCGUUCUUAUUUUUAUAAAAGGCUGCAAACACCGAGUCUUAAUCACAAAAAAAAAUUCCAAAUAGUGCAAAUAGGGUGAAUACAUAGGGGGAGCCCCCCUGGUGUCAAAUAAAAACCUUUUGAAAAUAUAAAUCCGAGUUAGUAUAGAGUUGACAAAUAGUAAAUGGGGAAGGGAGGCUUAUUUGGUAUUAGAGAGUACCACUGUCUGGGAUGGAUUGUGUUAUAUCAAUCGUGGCUCAGUAGUUAGAGCAUUGGAUUCGUAAUCUAAGGGUUGCGAGUUCGAUCUCUACUCGAAGCACAUAAAGGUUAUCGGUAUAGUUGGAAACGGAGAGCCAAGUUACAAAUGUUAUUGUCUUUGUGGCGGUGCUCUGUGACAAGGCCAUUAGGACUUCUUAGAGCACCUUAAUAACAACAA